Molecule: small nuclear RNA, 106 nt
Organism: Camelus dromedarius (Arabian camel)
Lineage: Eukaryota; Metazoa; Chordata; Mammalia; Artiodactyla; Camelidae
Source: Ensembl
GUAUUCGCUGCUGCAGCACAUAUACUAAGAUUGGAACAAUACAGAGCAGAUAGCAUGGCCCCUGCACAACAACGACAUGCAAAUUUAUGAAGCACUCCAUAUUAAC